RNAcentral lists this ribosomal RNA (417 nucleotides) under uncultured bacterium. RNAcentral describes it as "bacterial SSU rRNA". It matches the Rfam family "Bacterial small subunit ribosomal RNA", at positions 29 to 443 of the family's 1533-position model. The record is from RNAcentral.
AACGAACGCUGGCGGCGUGCUUAACACAUGCAAGUCGAACGCGAAAGUUUUCUUCGGAAGACGAGUAGAGUGGCGCACGGGUGAGUAACGCGUAAGUAAUCUGCCCUGGUAUCUGGGAUAACCCACCGAAAGGUGUGCUAAUACCGGAUACGCUGAGCAAUCAGGAAAGGUGGCCUCUUCAUGAGAGCUACUGUACCAGGAGGAGCUUGCGUACCAUUAGCUAGUUGGUAGGGUAAUGGCCUACCAAGGCAACGAUGGUUAGCGGGUCUGAGAGGAUGAUCCGCCACACUGGAACUGAAACACGGACCAGACUCCUACGGGAGGCAGCAGUGAGGAAUAUUGCGCAAUGGGGGAAACCCUGACGCAGCGACGCCGCGUGGAUGAUGAAGGCCUGGUCGUAAAGUACCUGUCAGAUGG